AGCACUUUUGUGGCUUGUACAUGGACACUCAUCUUCAUUUCUUGGACUCUGAGCCUCAAUUUCUCAUUCAAGUGGAGAAAGCAUAUAACAAGAAUAUGUAAUGGACAUCCUACCUACAAUUUUCGGUGUAAGAGUUACAGCAAGUAAAGUUAAUCAGGAUAAGAUCAAGACAUUCCAGCACCCAGAAGCCUCCUGCCUGUUCCAGACCAACACCAUCUCCAAAGAUAACUACUACUCUGACUUCUAUUGCCAUAGCUUUGCCUGAUUUUGAACUUCAUGUGAAUGGAA
Nomascus leucogenys (northern white-cheeked gibbon) is the source of this 288-nucleotide long non-coding RNA. RefSeq lists it as uncharacterized. Lineage: Eukaryota; Metazoa; Chordata; Mammalia; Primates; Hylobatidae. The transcript is spliced from 3 exons. The record is from RefSeq and is a predicted model, not a curated record.